Molecule: ribosomal RNA, 453 nt
Filed under: Clostridioides sp. ES-S-0056-01
Lineage: Bacteria; Bacillati; Bacillota; Clostridia; Peptostreptococcales; Peptostreptococcaceae
Description: partial 23S ribosomal RNA
Rfam family: Bacterial large subunit ribosomal RNA
Source: RNAcentral
UGGUCAAGUUAUUAAGGGUGCAGGGCGGAUGCCUUGGCACUAGGAGCCGAUGAAGGACGUGAUAAGCUGCGAUAAGCUUCGGGGAGUUGCACGUAAACUUUGAUCCGAAGAUUUCCGAAUGAGGAAACUCACUUAGAGUAAUGUCUAAGUAUCAUUGAGUGAAUACAUAGCUUAAUGAGGGGAACUCAGGGAACUGAAACAUCUAAGUACCUGAAGGAAGAGAAAGAAAUUCGAUUCCGUAAGUAGCGGCGAGCGAACGCGGAUUAGCCCAAACCAAUAAAGUUUUCUUUAUUGGGGUUGCGGACAUAUCAUAACGAAGAGGUAUCGUAAUUGAAGAGGUUUGGAAAGACCCACCACAGAAGGUAAUAGUCCUGUAUGUUAAACGAGAAGACUUCAGAUAUGAUCCAGAGUACCACGGGACACGUGAAACCCUGUGGGAAGCAGGAGGGACCA